RNAcentral lists this ribosomal RNA (608 nucleotides) under uncultured bacterium. RNAcentral's name for it is "bacterial SSU rRNA". The stretch from base 38 to 527 matches the Rfam family "Bacterial small subunit ribosomal RNA", at positions 33 to 541 of the family's 1533-position model. The record is from RNAcentral.
CUAGGCCUUUAAGUUGUAUCUAUGGAUCUCACAUUCGCCGCUGUUAUCCAGCCUAACACAUGCAAGUCGAACGGUACAGGAAGCAGCUUGCUGCUUUGCUGACGAGUGGCGGACGGGUGAGUAAUGUCUGGGAAACUGCCUGAUGGAGGGGGAUAACUACUGGAAACGGUAGCUAAUACCGCAUAACGUCGCAAGACCAAAGAGGGGGACCUUCGGGCCUCUUGCCAUCGGAUGUGCCCAGAUGGGAUUAGCUAGUAGGUGGGGUAACGGCUCACCUAGGGCGACGAUCCCUAGCUGGUCUGAGAGGAUGACCAGCCACACUGGAACUGAGACACGGUCCAGACUCCUACGGGAGGCAGCAGUGGGGAAUAUUGCACAAUGGGCGCAAGCCUGAUGCAGCCAUGCCGCGUAGUAUGAAGAAGGGCCUUCGGGUUGUAAAGGUACUUUUCAGCGGGGGCAGGAAGGCGAUAAGUGUUAAAUAACCUUUGGUCGAUUGGACGUUUACCCGGCAGAAAGAAAGGCACCGGGCUAAAACCUUCCGUUGGCCCAAGCCAGCCGGCCGGGUUAAAUACCGGACAGGGUGCCCAAGGCCGUUAAACUCGGAAUUA